Molecule: unclassified non-coding RNA, 157 nt
Filed under: uncultured Clavariaceae
Lineage: Eukaryota; Fungi; Basidiomycota; Agaricomycetes; Agaricales; Clavariaceae
Description: sequence contains ITS1
Source: RNAcentral
UUGAAUCCAAAGGGAUGUUGCUGGCCUUUACAAGCCGUGCACUCCCACCUUUACAUCCACCUGUGCACUUGCUGCAGACUAGGAUUAAUUUCUGAGUCUAUGUUUUCAUAUACUCUUUAAAGUAAAUGAAUGUAUUAUAGGCUUCAGCCAACAAAGC